CUCUUCAUUAUGUGGGUAUGAGGUCCUUGGGGUACAAGAUAGGUUGUCUAGGAGGGGAAAACGGGCUUGCCGGUGAAGUUCGAUUGAUUGAAUAAGAGUGGUUUGCGAUUUUUCUGUGAUGUUGAGGUUUUUGUGCGGAUCUUGUUUGUUUAAAUGCUGGACUAGUAUGCGAUGUUGAUGCUUCGAGGUUUCUGUGCAGAUUUCAUUUGUUUAAAUGCUGGACUGGUACGCCGAUUAGUGUUUGGAACUGUAAUUUGGGUUUUCCGUGUGAUUCUUGCUUGUUUAUAUGCUUACCGGUGAAGCCUAUUGUUGGAGUGGUUGCGAUUUGAGCUUUUCGUGAUGUCUUUGUGUCACUCUGUGCAGUUCUUGAGCUACUUCAUUUUGUAAGUUUACUCCUACGGUUGAGUAGGCCUUGAUUGUUUUCCUUCAUGGUGGUUUGUGUUAUUGGGGGUUCGGAUAUUGGAUAUCUUGUGUUGUUCCUCAAGAGGUUAUAGAGGUGAGUCUUCUUGAAGAUCUAUUGCUCUGGAGCUAUGGAACCUGGUAAGGUUUUGGUUACUUGAGUUGUUUUAUUUUCAUGAUCUGGAAUGGAGGCACAUAGUUGGAAGGUGGUUUUAGUUGUGGGUAUUCCUGAGCUUGGGAUGGAUCUGAAGUUUUAAUUCUUCAUGUCAUGUUUUUUUGAGUUUCGACGGAUUGGAUGUGGUUUGAUCGGGAUCACGAUGUGGUAAUUGGUUCUUUAUGAUGAUUUUAAAGAUUUGAAUAGAAUGUAGUUAUUUUCUCUUGUAGUUUUCAAGCAGGAAUGUGUUCUGAGCCUAAUUAGGAAAUGAAGGGAGCUAACUCAUUAGAUGGAGGUCACGGGCAGUGCUGUUCUUUUGGGUUGGCUUGGGCUUUUGAUUGGUUUCUUGUGGAACAGGUAGCAAGCUAGUGAAUUAGGUGCACUGUUUUUGUGAAGGCUUGCAAUUCCUUUUCUUUUCUGAACAGAUUUGGUAGAUGAUGAAUCGAUUUCAAGGCAGUGCUGUUCUUUUGGGUUGGCUUGGGCUUUUGAUUGGUUUCUUGUGGAACAGAUUUGGUAGAUGAUGAAUCGAUUUCAAGUGAGGACGCCACCUUGGAAAUGACGAAAGGCAUGCGGACGGAGUAGGCGAGGUGGCGAGAUGGAUGCAUGGCACUGUCCGGACGUUUAGGAGUGCAGAGCAUACUGGUUUCCUUGUGAGAGGUUUUACUUUAUUACUUGUAAAGAGGAAUGUUUUGGGAAUUAUUGUCCUUAUUCAUUAGACUCUUGUUUGAGAUAUAGUCAUUUUCAUUGGUUAA
Zingiber officinale is the source of this 1305-nucleotide long non-coding RNA. RefSeq lists it as uncharacterized. The record is from RefSeq and is a predicted model, not a curated record. Lineage: Eukaryota; Viridiplantae; Streptophyta; Magnoliopsida; Zingiberales; Zingiberaceae. The transcript has 3 exons.